AGGGCAACGGGAUCCACCCCGCGGGUGACCACGAGGUAAUCGCGCAACGCGAUGCUGUGGCGGCCCUC
RNAcentral lists this small RNA (68 nucleotides) under Mycolicibacterium neworleansense. RNAcentral describes it as "ASdes". It matches the Rfam family "ASdes TB sRNA". The record is from RNAcentral. Lineage: Bacteria; Bacillati; Actinomycetota; Actinomycetes; Mycobacteriales; Mycobacteriaceae.